This is a non-coding RNA of Arachis ipaensis, 373 nucleotides long. The record is from RefSeq and is a predicted model, not a curated record. Lineage: Eukaryota; Viridiplantae; Streptophyta; Magnoliopsida; Fabales; Fabaceae.
CGGGCUUCAGAGAGGGAGAACAGAAGAACACAGCUCCGAUGAGGAGACAGCAGAGUGAACAAUGUGGCCUUCAAAAAAGGGGAUUAGGGUUUUAACUUCACCUGAGGGACCAAAUUGAGUCGGAAGAGUUUACUCUGCCACAUCAGCUAGCCGUUGUGAGUCCCACGUGUCACCAACACUGCCAGCUAAGCUUUCCGGUUGCGCCACGUGUGCUGAAAUUGCCGGAAGGACCACUUUGAGUCCCGGAGUGCAAGUUCGGAGAUGACUCUGAGGAACUUUUAAGUUCAGGGACUACUAUGAGGCUCGAGUGCAACUUCAGGGACUACAUUGAGACUUAUCUCAGAAUUUAUUAGGUUCUAGUAUAGAAUAUUCU